UCGUAACCUGCGAAAGCAAAGAAACUCGCGAACACGUAGUUAACACUCGGGGAUCCAAGCGCGUCCUCCCCGGGGGACGCCCUUUCUCCCCAAAKUCGGGGCGGCUCGGUGCUCGUUGCUCGUUGGCGGCGCGCCCGUCGCGAGCUUACGGCCUCCGGGCCUUCCCGACACAACAAAAAACCGGCGCGGAAUGCGCCAAGGAAAAUGAAAGAGAGUGCGCCUGUCCGRCUUCGGCUCGCGCUGCGCUCGGACGGGCGUCGUCUUCUUGAUGAGUUUAUAAUGACUCUCGGCAACGGAUAUCUCGGCUCUUACAUCGAUGAAGAACGUAGCAAAAUGCGAUACUUGGUGUGAAUUGCAGAAUCCCGUGAACCAUCGAGUCUUUGAACGCAAGUUGCGCCCGAAUCCAUCUGGUUGAGGGCACGUCUGCCUGGGUGUCACGUACGCACGCCUCCCGCAAACCUUCCCAUUUUUUGUGGACGAAGGGUCUCGCGGGAGCAGAUAUUGGUAUCCCGUGCCCGUUCCGCGCGGCUUGCCUAAAAACGGAGAUCCGGCGGCGAAACGUCACGUCUAGUGGUGGUUGAUGAGGCCUAACGGCCGACCAGUUCGCGGCGUGAUCGUUUGUCGCACGGAAGUCUCGGACGACACCUUGGACGCCCUCUAACGGGCGUGCUACUGUA
Molecule: ribosomal RNA, 677 nt
Filed under: Saxifraga oppositifolia
Lineage: Eukaryota; Viridiplantae; Streptophyta; Magnoliopsida; Saxifragales; Saxifragaceae
Description: partial ribosomal RNA
Rfam family: 5.8S ribosomal RNA (bases 282-437)
Source: RNAcentral